This 660-nucleotide ribosomal RNA is filed under the name Staphylococcus aureus. RNAcentral's name for it is "partial 23S ribosomal RNA". It matches the Rfam family "Bacterial large subunit ribosomal RNA", at positions 797 to 1461 of the family's 2925-position model. Lineage: Bacteria; Bacillati; Bacillota; Bacilli; Caryophanales; Staphylococcaceae. The record is from RNAcentral.
UGAGCGGAUGAACUGAGGGUAGCGGAGAAAUUCCAAUCGAACCUGGAGAUAGCUGGUUCUCUCCGAAAUAGCUUUAGGGCUAGCCUCAAGUGAUGAUUAUUGGAGGUAGAGCACUGUUUGGACGAGGGGCCCCUCUCGGGUUACCGAAUUCAGACAAACUCCGAAUGCCAAUUAAUUUAACUUGGGAGUCAGAACAUGGGUGAUAAGGUCCGUGUUCGAAAGGGAAACAGCCCAGACCACCAGCUAAGGUCCCAAAAUAUAUGUUAAGUGGAAAAGGAUGUGGCGUUGCCCAGACAACUAGGAUGUUGGCUUAGAAGCAGCCAUCAUUUAAAGAGUGCGUAAUAGCUCACUAGUCGAGUGACACUGCGCCGAAAAUGUACCGGGGCUAAACAUAUUACCGAAGCUGUGGAUUGUCCUUUGGACAAUGGUAGGAGAGCGUUCUAAGGGCGUUGAAGCAUGAUCGUAAGGACAUGUGGAGCGCUUAGAAGUGAGAAUGCCGGUGUGAGUAGCGAAAGACGGGUGAGAAUCCCGUCCACCGAUUGACUAAGGUUUCCAGAGGAAGGCUCGUCCGCUCUGGGUUAGUCGGGUCCUAAGCUGAGGCCGACAGGCGUAGGCGAUGGAUAACAGGUUGAUAUUCCUGUACCACCUAUAAUCGUUUUA